RNAcentral lists this small nucleolar RNA (215 nucleotides) under Meyerozyma guilliermondii ATCC 6260. The record is from RNAcentral. Lineage: Eukaryota; Fungi; Ascomycota; Pichiomycetes; Serinales; Debaryomycetaceae.
CACUUUGUCCAAAAGUCAUCCACAACAUUAGACAGUGCACCAUGACGGGGAAUCAGUGGUGGACGAUGAGGGCCAGUUUUUGGCUCGCACCGUCCGACUGCCACAUGAUCCAUUUAUCGUCUAAAGUGCGAUAGCUUGUGGAGAGAAAAAUAUGUAUCUUUUAAGAACCUGUCUGGAAAAUCAUGAUAGAGAGGUGUCAGUAGAUGCAGAUAUUU